AUCUGGGGAGAAAUGGGGAGAAAUUGGGAAAAUCCUAUAAGAGUUUUGGGGUGAAAGUGGGAGAAAAUGGGAAAAAGGGGGAGAAAAUGGGAGAACGUGGGAGAAAGAGAGAGAAAAUGGGAGAAAAUGGUGGAAAAUGGGAAAAAAUGAGAAAAAUUGGGAUACUACGGGGUGAUAUUGGGGUGAUCCUAUAAGGUUUGGGGGAAAAAAGUGGAAUUUGGGGGAAAAUCGGAUAAGUUUUUUGGGGUGAAAUGGGGAGACAUUGGGAUUCCAUGGCGGUGCACGAGGCGCUGCCCAUGCGCUUCAGCCAGCGCACGCUGCAGAAACAGGCUGGUAAAUAAAGGAUUGGGGGUGCGAAACCCUCGUGCAAUGCACAAGAUGGUGGAAAGUCGGGUCUUUUUGGGGUGAAAAGGGGGGAAAUUGGGAAAAAAUCGGGAGAAAAUGGCGGAAACGGGGAGAAAAUGGCGGAAAUUGAGAGAAAAUGGGAGAAAUCUGGAGAAAAGUGGAGAAAAAUGGGAGAAAAUGGGAGAAAAUGGGAUACUACGGGGUGAUAUGGGGGCGAUCCUAUAAGAAUCUGGGGAGAAAUGGGGAGAAAUUGGGAAAAUCCUAUAAGAGUUUUGGGGUGAAAGUGAGAGAAUGGGGAAAAAGAGGGAGAAAAGGGGAGAACGUGGGAGAAAGGGGGAAAAAGGGAGAAAAAUGGCGGAAAAUGGGAGAAAAUGGGGAAAAAUGGGAUACUAUGGGGUGAUAUUGGGGUGAUCCUAUCAGAAUCCGGGGAGAAAUGGGGAGAAAUUGGGAAAAUCCUAUAAGAG
Molecule: long non-coding RNA, 809 nt
Organism: Gallus gallus (chicken)
Lineage: Eukaryota; Metazoa; Chordata; Aves; Galliformes; Phasianidae
Source: Ensembl